UAGACUGAAUCUGAAUGCGUCGCCUUGUUGUUCCAAAUGUAGUACUAGUUGGCUGCUGUUGACUCUGCCUGUCUCUCUGCGAGUAGUGGUAGUGGUAGAUGAUUGCCAACGCUUCGUUGGCUCCUUGGUUGUUAGAGGUGAACUUGUUGCUUUUGCAAACUGAUAUCACUAUCUAGAAAAUGUUGCAGUCGUGGUUCCAUAUCCGUAUCAGUGAUGAAUUUGAUUGAUGCUGUCUUUUCUACUCUUGUGAACUGAACACUCUGUCCGCGAGCUCUAGUGCUGAUGGACCGGAAUUGCUGGUGCUUGCCAAUGCUACUCACGCAAACUGGGAUGCGAUUUAGAAUAACGAUGCAUUGAUGCUGCUCGUUUGUGAUUUCUUCAGUCUCUGAUUUGAUUUAGAAUAGCAAGUGCUUGCACUGCUCUCUGCAAUGUGUUUAUGCUUUUGUACGGUACCAAUUUAAGUUCAGUUUCCAGACCCUGCCCAUCAGUAGGUUCCAUUUCUGCACGAGACCGAGAAAACCAGUGUUGAGUGGGACGGGUGCCACUGAACGCGCUGACCGCUCCAUUGCCGCCUGUGAUGAUCAUUGCAAUGCAGAACUGAGAGCCUUGGCAUGUCCUAUGUCCGGUUCUUCGUUUCGGCACCCCAGUAGUUAGCAUUGCUAAUCUAUUACUCUGCAAUUGCCUGAAAAUCAAAUCGGAGGGAGUAGCAAUUGGUAAACCAGGCUGUUACUCUGAUAAUGUCAAAUGUGAGUUUACAUAGUACUGUACAAUACUAUGUACAAGCAAUGCGUGGCAAAAAUAAAAUAACGAAUGUUCCAAUUCACAUACUAGUAAACGGUAAUGGCUUUGUCUUUGAAGAGAUACUUCGGAGGUCUGAAAAGUUGCGGAUCAGCAAUGGAGCCACGUCGAGUUUGGACGAAGAGGUGAUCUGCCCUCUUUUUUACUUUGGUGACCGCUUUGAUGGUGUCGGAGAAGGGUGACAGAAGCUGGCAUCAAGCUCAAGAGAUUCUUCGGUCUUGACUUGUACUUUAUUCUUAGGCGACCGCCGCUGUUAGGCGGUUAAACAUUUUUUAAAUUAAAAAAAUGCAUGCACUUUUCUGUAUCUUAAGUUGCACAUAUUUUUGUGCAACUCUAGUACUCUCAAUAUUCAAGUCGGUCAAAAUCAAACAGGGAGGUUUUCUUUUGUGGGAAUGCCAAAGUAGGUUAAGCUACAUUUUUUUAGCAAACUAACCGACUUUCUUAAAAAUCAAUCAAAGUUCUUCAAAAGUCACAUCUAGUCACAUCUCUAACCGAAGUCAAAUGAAUAUCAAUUUUGUAUAAGCUGGGCUAACCUCAACUUCUUUUGAAAAGUCACACAGCCACCCAUGAGGUAUCUAGAGCAUGUAUGUGGUUGGGCCACACCCCUUGCCUUGUUCACUAUCAUCAUCAUACCACCAUCACUACCACCACUUCCCGGUGACUGAUGAUAAUCCACUUGAACUAGAGCCGACUAUCCGUCCAAACAGAACACGAAAUGCUUCUUGGUGUCAGGUGCAUGGUCUAUGAACGCCACGCCAUGACAAAAGUUUAGCCAUGCAAGUUUUAUUAUAUUGUCAUUGCAAAAAACAAACCUAUAAUGGAAGAACCUAAAAUCAUAACUAUGGCAUUGAUCCGUAGUUCUCCCACUCUUGAUAGCUUGUGAUAGAAAAACAGGAUAAAACUUUUUUUUUUGGAGUGAAGAGAGAAUUUGGUAGAGCAGAAAAUAAAAAAAUGGAGCUUUCCCUCUGGCAGCCAAAGUUUUUUUUACUCUUGGUGGUAGACGGUUAAUUGGGUGGGCCAGGUGGCAAAUCAGGACUACACACAAAAUGGGUUUGCCACAUGGGCUUCAAUAACUGUUGAGCCAUAUAUCCUGCAGGCUCAGGCCAUGGCCGUGGAAGUGCAUACAAACCAGGCUUUCGUAUGCCUAAAAAAUCCCAGGCCCCGCUUGGGAGAUCUGGAAAAUAUACCCCUGUAAAUAUUCUACAUCUGUAUUUUACUUGCCACCAAUGGAAGGGGGAACCACGUGACACUCGUGGUAGGCAAUCCAAACUUGGUGAACCAAUGGAAGGGGAAUCAGUUCAAAGAAGUAAAUGGAAGGGGGAACUUAUUUGGCGCACAGGUCACCGGUUAGCGACCGCGCACGUACCUCCCUCAUGCAUGCGUUUUUGUAUGGGCCGGUCCAUUUAUGAGUUUCAUCCAACCUAUUUUGGGAAGGUUAUCCUUCCCUGAACCUUUUUUAUUUUUAUUUUUUUCUUUCGGUUUUAUCUCUCUCCUUUUCUUUUUUCCUGUUUGUUUAUGUUUAUUUUCCUGUUUACUUUUUCUUUUUUUCUUUUAUUUUCUGUUUUUCAUUUUCAUUUUUUUUUUUCAAUUUUAAAAAUGUUUUAAAAUUCGUGAACAUUUUGUAAAAUCAUAGACAUUUUUUUGAAAUCAUGAACGUUUUAUAAAUUCACAAAAUUAUUUUCGAACAUGUUCUACAAAUUCAUGAAAGUUAUCUGAAAUCAUUAACAUUUUCCGAAUUCGUCUACAUUUUCAAAUUCAUAAACAGAAUUUUGAAAUAAUGAACAUUUUUAAAUUGGUGCACAUUUUUUUUACAAAACGUGAGAUUUUCAAAUUCAUGAGCUGUUUUGAAAUCACGAACAAUUUUUAAAUAUAUGAACAUUUCUUUUUACAAAUUUGUUAACAUUCUCUUUAAAAAGUUCUGAACAUUUUUCUGAGAGGGGUGCGCGCCGCGAUUGUUUUCCGGUGCGCGGUCGUCGAAUAGGAGGUCCCCCAAUGGAAUACCCUUGUAAAUAGUCCACCUUUGUAUUUUACUUGCCAUCAACGGAAUACCCAUGUAAAAUACAUCUGUCUUUGGUUGUGCCGGAGGCUGCAUCGAUGCGCAGAGCGGAGGAGAUGAAUUGGCCCAUCAUCUUUAUUGCCGGCUAUGACGAGCUUGCUCCCGUCACUCUGCAGUCGCCGCCGCCGUUGUUCCAGAGUUAGCUCCGGCAGUCGCCGCCAGCAUUGCCAUAGACCUUGCUUCGACAGUCGUUGCCGCCACGCAGUCCCUAAUGACAUUCCCACGGAGCCCCCGCUCUGUGCCUGACCAGGACCCCAAGCCCCCUGCUCGUCGUAGCCUCAACACGUCGGCCUGUGGGAGCUCCAGCUACGGCGACGCUCACACCAGAGACCCGCCAGGCUCGUGUUCCCUGCCACCGGUGCCUCACCCGUCCCGUGUGGUUCCGGCCGUCCGGCGGCGGGUGCGGGUGUGCCCUUCUCGUCGACUAGGUAAGUGAGACGUGAUGAGGAGUGUUUCUGAUACCAGCCAAAACCGAGUGCAUAAUAAUCUGGAAAACCCUGUAAACUUUACGGACCAAAACGACCAAGCAAUCGCCUAAUCGAAGCCCACCCGGAUUUCUUUACAGGACGAUCCAAUCGGGGGCCCAGGCUCUCGCUCCCUCUUUUCUUCCUUGUCUAAAGAAAAAAACGUUCUCUUUCUUCCCGCCUAUCCGCCGCCCCCCCCAAAAAAAAACUCCCCCCAAACCCACCAAGCAGCAGGUCGCCAUGGCGGAGGAGCAGAUGGAGGAGGCGGCGUCGUCCGCGGCGGCCUCCGGCACGCCGUUCCAGCUCCAGUUCGACAAGCCCAUCCCCUUCCAGGUNNNNNNNNNNNNNNNNNNNNNNNNNNNNNNNNNNNNNNNNNNNNNNNNNNNNNNNNNNNNNNNNNNNNNNNNNNNNNNNNNNNNNNNNNNNNNNNNNNNNNNNNNNNNNNNNNNNNNNNNNNNNNNNNNNNNNNNNNNNNNNNNNNNNNNNNNNNNNNNNNNNNNNNNNNNNNNNNNNNNNNNNNNNNNNNNNNNNNNNNNNNNNNNNNNNNNNNNNNNNNNNNNNNNNNNNNNNNNNNNNNNNNNNNNNNNNNNNNNNNNNNNNNNNNNNNNNNNNNNNNNNNNNNNNNNNNNNNNNNNNNNNNNNNNNNNNNNNNNNNNNNNNNNNNNNNNNNNNNNNNNNNNNNNNNNNNNNNNNNNNNNNNNNNNNNNNNNNNNNNNNNNNNNNNNNNNNNNNNNNNNNNNNNNNNNNNNNNNNNNNNNNNNNNNNNNNNNNNNNNNNNNNNNNNNNNNNNNNNNNNNNNNNNNNNNNNNNNNNNNNNNNNNNNNNNNNNNNNNNNNNNNNNNNNNNNNNNNNNNNNNNNNNNNNNNNNNNNNNNNNNNNNNNNNNNNNNNNNNNNNNNNNNNNNNNNNNNNNNNNNNNNNNNNNNNNNNNNNNNNNNNNNNNNNNNNNNNNNNNNNNNNNNNNNNNNNNNNNNNNNNNNNNNNCUUCUGCAUCGUCCCUCCCCUCCCCUCCCCGAAUUAGUGCAGGUCAGAAAGUCCCCUCUACCCCCGCAGCGGCGACUCGGGUGGCCGAAAACCUAGGCCCGCCGCCGGCCUUUCCUCGUCCCUCUCUCCUCCUCGUCGCCACCAGAGGGGUCCGCCGGCUCGCUGCGUGGGCUCCGGUGAAGGUGGUGGCGAGGAUCUCUCUCGCGGGGUGGGCUUCGGACACGAGGCGGCGGCCUCACGGGAGGACGCGGGUGGAUUUGGGCUGGUAAUCCAGGGGUGGCCGCACCCUUGCCGCAUGCCAACCGUUUGCCGAAAUUCCUAAGAGGGCUGGGCCGGGACCUAGUGGUUCCCUACUGUCACUUCGUGCGGCUGAGAGGGGUUUUGGCUGGGAUUUAGCGGUGGAUCGAUUCGUCUGACCUAAACACUAUCAGGAACCGCGCUAUUUUGAUAAUCUGGAACGGCAAACACCAUAUUUGUUUAUCGAGUUUAGCUUUGGCAUUUGCACCCAGUGAUCCAUUUUCCAGCCCUUAAGACAUGCUUGAUUCAUCCGAUUUCUAUUCUAUACCCUAUUCAGCAACAUUCAGCUAUAUAGACCCGACAGUUAGCGCUGCUUAAUAUUUGACAUCUUUAUGUAUUGCGUGCACCUUUUCCAUUUUCUGUUAUUUAUUUAUUAUAGAUUCAUAUUAAUAUGGUCCAUUAGUAAUUGUCUUACACAUGUUCUACUAUUGUUAGAUAAAAUUGGCAGAGUGGAACCCAGAGAAGGAUCUGCUUGCUAUGGUUACUGAUGACUCCAAGGUUCUCCUCCAUCGCUUCAAUUGGCAACGGCUGUGGACUAUAUCCCCUGGUUGCUACCCUCCCACCCCUUGGUGCUCAUAAUAAAAACGAUGAGCCAUCUAUCAAAUUAUUAUUUUUUCUUUCUUUUUAAAUGCCAAAAAACAAAUAUAGUUAUAGACAAUUCCUCAUGUUCGGUAUGUUCAAAGAAGUACAUGUCUUCUGUUGAGGUGCACCUUGUCUAUUCAACAAUAAGUACAUAAGCACAUAUUUUGCAGUCGUAUCCUAAGUAAAAGCCAGAUGCUUUGGCAAUUUGUGUUUAGAAGAAGUGAGAUCCCUGCUCCAUGACAAACUUCACAAGCUGAGAACACUGUCCGUUUUCUGUGUAGUCUUAUUAUACUUGCACCCUUAGGGCCUAUUUGGAAUGCAGGAUUCUAAAAAAGGCAGAUGCCAUGACUUCCUGGAUCUUACAGGAACUUGCAAACAUGUCUCUUUAGACUUCCACAAAAAGUUUGCUGGAAUUUGAAGAUAGAGAAUGUGCAUACAGGACACAGAAUAAUUUUCAUAGGGUCUAACCCCGAGAUCCUUUAAAAUUGGGAUGUUGGAGAGCAACCCAUAUAAUUUUUUGGUGGUCCCAUUCCUUCGAUCCAAAGGGCUUCUAUUCAAAAGUAAUCCUAUGGAUUGAAAUCCUACAAAAAUCGUAUAAAAAUCCUUUAACCCAUGGGAAGAGCUGGCAGAUCCGACAUCGGCACUGGAUAAUGGAUCACCUGGCGAUAGCCGAACUUCGAAAAUGAGCCUUUUCUUUUCCUUCCUCAAAAUGCAAGGGGCCCUUGAUGUAUGCUUUCUCAGUAGUUGAACUGACAGCAUCUGUUUUCAAGUUAAAAUGGUAGCAGGCACUAAAAUAGUAAAAUGCUUAUUUUUCAGGGAAGUGCAUCACAUCAAUUUGCUGGAGCCCUGAUGGUAAAAUAGUAGCACUUGGUACAGAAGAUGGUUUUGUUCUUUUGCAUGAUGUGGAGGUGUGUAUGCUGAAAGCAAUGGGUAGAAACUAUUGAUGGCUUCUUUUUUGUUGCCAGACUAUCUUUUCAUACUUCAUGCAAACCUGAACUCUGCAUGGUUCCUUAUAAUUUGCUAAUGGCACUGUUCUCAUUUUGGCCUUCAUAACUUUGGACUUUUAUGUAUGGAAUUAUUAGGAGAUCACUGGGGGCACAUGCUCCCAAGGACCUCUGAGACAACUAUGUGCAUACAUAAAGAAUAUGGAUCUUCCCAUAAAAAAUUGUGUCUCAGUAAUAUAAUGAAGUGGUUAGUUGAUGCUAAAACCAAACACAUUGAUACAGCACAUUCGAAUUGCUUUAUUUUCUGUUGAGCACCAUUUCGAAUUUGCAAUCUGUUGCAGUUUCAUCGUAACUGAAUUUGCAAUAUCAUUUUUUAUCACUGUGUGUUAGUAGUUAUUAUAAAAACUCCUUAUAUGAUCUCGAAGGUUGUAACAUAAGUACAUAAUCUAUUUUAUGUUUUGACUCUGUGCAAUUUGUGAUUUUUGUAUUACACAAACAAUCAUGCAUGCUAUUACAGUUUACUUGUUACUUCUAUUUACUUUACCACUUCGUGUAUGUAUAAAUAACAUGAGUGCUAAUUGCAGAAUGGGAAGAUGUUACGAAGUAUAAAAUCUCAUGAUGUUGCCAUCGUAUGUCUGAAUUGGGCAGAAGACGAACCACUAUCAAGGGUAUAUUUAUUCCCUUGAAAAACAUUUACUAUAUUUACUCAAGAUAUUAUUUGUUAAAUCACAUAUAGCUUGCAUCUUAUUGAAAAUUAUUCAGUGAAGCUUGCAACCGGAGAUGAUCAACUGCUUGAAUUUUGCACUUACUGAGAAUAGUAUAGGGUUUCAGUGGAAAAGUUCCUUACUAGAGCCCUCUGCUAAUUACUGCAGACUGACAAGGAAGACUUGUUAUCUUAUGAAGACCGCACUACACGUUUCUUUCCUCCUGCUCCCGUGAUGCCUAGGAUAGGCGGGCUCAAUUCGGGAGAUACUGGUCUUGCAGAUGAGAAUGAAGAAGCCAUUCAGGCAUUUUCAAGUGCUUCGUGUCAACGUUUUAAUAUUCUGUGCACUGGUGAUAAAGAUGGUUGCAUUUGCUUCAGUAUUUUUGGAAUAUUUCCAGUUGGAAAGAUAGUAAGUAAACACAAUAACUGAAUGCUCUACAUUUACAGUCAAUAUAAUCAGCUAUGCAUGCUUUCUUCUGAUUCUCAAGGUUGUUCUUAUCAUUAAUACUCUUUUGUUACUUUGACAGCAAGGCUCGUAUACGUUAACAGUAAAUAUGAUAUUAUGAAAUAGUUAUUUCUGCAAUAUUUUUACGAUCUAUGGAUAUUGACAGACUGUUGCCUACCUUUUGUCUUUGUAAAUGAUUAGUUCUGGGGCAUACCCUGGCAGUAAUGAGUUUAUUGUUGAUAUUUCAGAACAUAAAUAAGGUUCCAAUCCAUGUACAAUCCUCUGGAAAAAGAACUAGCUACCGACUUCAGGAUGUUUCCAUAAGCAAGGUCAUUAAUUCUUCACUUCUUAGGUUCUUAUGCACGUAUCAGUCUGCUGGAUAUGAUAUUCUGACCAAUAGUUGUUCUUAAUAUCAGGUCUCUUUAUCACGAAAUCUCCAUCAGUUGGUUCUUCUGUGCUCUGGAAAGCUGAUUAAUACUGACAACCUUUCUCUCAGUAAUGAUCUUUCUGUUGGGAUACAUUGUUUGCACCUUGAUACCUCUAUCUUUUUCAGCAGGUAAUGGCAUACCAAUUCCAUUGCCUUUUAAUGCCUUCUGUCCUUGUUCCGAUCCCAUCUUCUUCUUGUGGUCUUGUAUGAAAAUAAAAAUAGAUCCACAAAAGGUGCUAGAAUAACACAUUCACUGGCACCUAAAAGAUUGAACUCUGACACAUCCAAUUCACCAAUCACAACUAAUUAUUUGGCCAAGUGUAAAUAUCUUAGGCUUUUGUUGUUUCCCUAAAAUAUAGCAGCAGUAUUUCAGUACUAAAGUUUGUAAGGAUAUUGACUGCUGUGCUGUUCCUACUAAAAUUGAAUAAAGAUUUUUUUUAUUCUGUUUGUCUUAUCACCAAUAAAGGAAAAAUGAGCUACAUCAGGUGUCUCAACAAGCGUCAAGUAUUCAAGAUCUGGUCGAAGUUGCCCGUGCUUCCAUAUCUAUGAUGUCCAAACAAUGGUCAAAUGCUAUGAACUUAUUUCAUGAGAAAUUUAGUGCCUUGCCUUCUCUGCUUACUGCCCAUGGUAUGAUUGGUUUAUUUUGAAGCCAUAACCAUCAAGAAUCACAUACCUUUAUUUUUCUACGUUGGUCUAAGUUUUUGGCCGUUUACAGGGAUGGAAUCUAGCUCCGAGGAUGAGUUUAUGAGCCUUUUGUUUGGGACACAUACAAGUCCGGCUCUACAUCAAUUUCUAGUCAGCUCCCUUGGUGAAGCGGUAUUUAUUGCUAUUGCCAUUACUUGCAUACCUUCUUUUCUUAAAUAACCUGUCUAAAAUUGUUAUUUUUUAUAUGAAAGGGACUCAAGAGGAUAGCUAAGACUAUUGAAAGUGCUGGAAGAGAACUUCGUAUUGUUGUCAGUGAGCAUCUUCAGGUCAGCUACUACAUAAUGAUACCAGAGCAACAUAUUAUUGGUACUAUUGUCUGUAUUUUUGGUUCACUUCUAAUGGAUACUAUAGAGUUUGUUAGGCAGCUUCACGUCUUUCUGCUAUAAUUAGUUAAGUUGUUAGUGUUUUACUACUCCCUCCGUUCACCUUUGUAAGACCGUUUAGACAUUUAAGACAACACCCAAAACAGUUCAAUCUCAGCUGUCUAAAACGUCUUAUAAAAGUGAGCAGAGGGAGUAGUUAGGUGACUCAGUUAUUAAAAACAAAGUUAGUUGACUCAAACCAGGAAGAACUGUUAGUAUUGGUAGAAUACCACAGUCAUGUCUUCCUUUAUAUCACAACAUUAAAGUCGUAGCUCACUAAUUGGAGGUCAACCCAUCUGGUUUGGCCAGACUAAACAUGUGUUACACCUGCAACCUAUUUCAAGUUUCUGUAAUUGAAAUUGAGUUGCUUGCUAAUAUGUUCUUUAUUUAUAGCCUGCAGUCGAAAUUAUUUCAUUCAGACUUGCAGAACUGAGAGGCCUUGCGAGAUGGCGUUCAAGAUUUCAGAACAUUGGGUUAGAUGAAAAGCUUAUGGAUGGUGUAACUGAGAGGGUAGGGAUGCUAGUUGUGCAAGUUGAGCGCUUUUCAAGGGUUGCAGCUACUGUUCUUUAUCUGGUACACUUUUUUUCUUGGUUCAUGUUUUCUCAAAUUUUGUUGAGAAUUGGGACUUGUGUCAUCUUAAAAUGAGGCUCCUUCCUGAACAAGUGUGCAUAUCAUUUCCCUUUUUUUUUGCAUAUCCAGUUAUGGUUACUGAUGAUGAUGUACCUUUGGUAGUUUAUCAUGUAGUAACUUUCAUUGAUCCAUUAACUUUCCAGUUCCAAAAUUUCUUCAGCUGGGUUUUGAAGUGUGUUAAGAUAUUGUUAAGUGAACCAACUGAUCAAGUUCCAUCCACAAACAGGUUUAUGUCUUUCUUUCUUAUUGUCCUCUUCAUUCUCAUGUCAUGAAUUUUGUUAUUAACUAGCAGGGGAUUAUCUUCUGUAGUGAACUUGUGGUGAUUUUUCUGAAGUUUCUUCUUGGUAAGGAUCCAAUCAAGCAGUUACUUGAAACAGAUCAGAUAUUUGAGUGGGAUAUGUAAGUAGCAUGCCAGUUGUUGUUUUAUGUUUGCUAUUGAUUUAUUAGACUUUAUUUACACUAUCUGUAUAGUUUUGAAGAUUUUUGGUACCUAUUUGCAAGUUACUAUUCACCAUUUAUAAACAUAAGUGCAUGGUUGAUCUGGACACGGAUGGGUUGUACUGUUGUACUAUGGAAGUUUUCGUAGAUGCAGUUUUUGUACAUGGUUGUGUCUUGGCGUUGCUAACUGCAUGGUUUAUCUUUAAAGAAGAAACAUCAUUCCUGCAUGUAUGUACCUUUGUGGUCUGGACGUUUUUAGCAUUGCUUUCAUAGUUCGAAGAUUUAUGGUACCUAUUCCCAAGUUGUGAUGAUGCGUGGCUAACUUAUUUAAUUGUGUGCAACACACUUCUUCAGUGAUACUGCGAAACAUGUUGAGCAUCUAGUAGUUUUUGGAGGAUUUACAGACACAAAGUUUUUGGAAAGGAGUUUGGCCAAGCAGUUUAGCGAGUUGGAAGAAAGGUGAAUCAUCUAAUUGCUUCAAAUUAUUUGCCAGUACACGUGUCUCGACUCAAUGUACUGUCAGUCAAAUCUUUGUGUAUUCAGUUUCUUCAGACAGAAUAACUUUAAACUUGUUCCUUGUUACUUAAAAUAACAGUUCCUUCCUUUUGUGAAGCAGUUUUAUGCUAUGCUAACAACUCUAUAUCCCAUAUUUUUUAGCUUGAAGGAGGCUUUCUUGAUGCCAUUCACCACUGUAUCUUCAAAAAUACAUUGCCAAGGAUUGCUUCCUCUUUAUCCUGUUACAUCGUCCGAUGCCUUGUCAUCAACCAGUACUCCAGCAUCAAUUGCGUUCUAUAAGGUUUAUGUUCUCUUUGGUGAUUUCUUCCAACAAACUAAUGGUCCUGAUGUGAACAUACUCAUUGCUUAUUUCCAUGUUUUUCUUUAACUUAUUCUGUACAUGCUUUGCAUUGAGUCCGUGAUCUGUCACUUUUCAGAGUCCUAACUGAUUACUCAAAAUAGCAGGAUAAAGAUUCUCAGCAUAAUGCUUCUUCAUAUAGCUCGACUGACUACAUAUGCUUCAAGAUACCUGAUGGAUCGUUAAAUUUAAGAAAUUUCGUUGCUGUGAUAAAGGACUUCUGCAACUCAUGUAGUACCUCCAACACACCAUCACUUUCAGGUUUUCUGUUGCAUAUACCUGUAGAAUACGAGUGUGUUGAUCUGUCUCUUUACAAGGUAUUCCCUGUUACAAUUAUUGAGGCAAUACUUUGCUUUUGUAAAGCACUUUGCGUAUCUUAGAAAAGAAAACGGUUAUUCACAGGACAACCAGGUGGUUUUACUACUUAGUGGAAAGUCCAGCUCUGAAAGUGCCGGGAGAUCUUGGAUGGUUAUGCUGCAGACAGAGAACCUCUCUUUUUCACAGCUCUCAAGAACGUUCCCUGCAAAUUAUUACAAUCUCCAAGAAUUGGAGGUACGAAUUUACUUAAAUGAGAACAGUAGGGAGAAACCUACUGAAAUAAGUUAUACUACACAAAAAUAAAGUAGCCAUAUUAGUAGUAAUUAAUCGCUGCAACAAGAUAAACAAAAUUGCACUGGAUCUGUAAAUUGGUCCAUUGACAAGGAGAUGCUUGUUGAAGCUGACUUUACUUUUUUUGCUGGCAAAUGGUAAUAGCGCUAAUUUCCUGCCAUGAACAUGUAUAGGCGCUGGAACUCCAAUUGGAUACAGAUUAUGGAAAAGUUCGUAGCAUCCCUCACCCUUUGUCUACUCCGCUGGCAGUCAGUGGUAGGUCGAGUGUUUAUUUCUGCACAUGAUUUUUAGUUGGUAUUCAUUUCACAUAACGAGUAAUGUUUACAGCCUCAAGAGGAGUGGCUUGUGUCUUCUCAUCGCGGAGGCAUGCUUUGGUCUAUAUCCUUGAUGAGGACGAAGACGAGGAUGAAGAUGAAGAUUCUGAGAUGGAGUGACCAUGGUAACACCAGCAACUUCAGCUCGCCAUGUAGAAGAAAAGAUUGUGGAAUUGCACUAUCCUGUGCUGCAAACAGAGCAUGAGUAGCUGCCAGUCACAAUGAGCAACCUGCAGUCAUGAUCACCGGGAGACGUGUUUGAUCGCCCAGUUGCUGCAGGAAUUCCGUUGCUGCAGCUAAAAGGUGUUGGUACCGGCUUGGUCAGGUCUGAAACCCACAUUUCGGGUGUACAUCUGCAGAGUGAACUUAGGACGAUACUCUGUAAAUGGUGGUGUCGCAACAGAAAUGUUGUACACCGUACAACUUUGUGUACUGAACCAGCGACAAGUAAUAUGGAUCAGAGUACCUAGUUUUUGCUGUUAAUUGUGUGAAGUUGGUGUGUGUGUGUGUGUGUGUGUGUGUCAGUGUGUGUGUGUGUGUUGAUAAGUUAUUAUGCAUGGUUGAGCUUUUAUGUAACACCAGGACAGGACUGAAGCGAAGUCAUCUUGGCAUUUGCCAGUUCACUCGUUUCACAGCUUUGAGUUUUUUAUUUUUUGAGAAUCAUCUCAAAAGCGUACUUAGAACAAAGCGGACAUACAGUAGCCCAUGAGGUCGCGUUUGGCAUGGGCCUCGGCCCAAAACAAGGACGCCUGGUUUAGCCACGAUAGAAUAAUCUUUGUGUCCCCCUUUGCGACGCAACCAACUCGAAUUGCUCUCGGCCCAUUAUAAUAGCGCCUCCUGUCCGUUCUGCUUUCCCGCGGAGCCCCUCUCCCUCACCGCGUACAUCGUCGCCGAGUUCCGAUCCCCCCGUACGUAGAUCUCGAGAAAGGCGCCGCCCGGCCAUCGGUGACGACGAAUCAAUUCCCCGUCAGCGUGUCCAAUCAUGUCGUUGCCGAGUUCGGAUCUCCCCUUAGAUUUAGACCUAGAGAAAGGCGCCGCCGCCUGGCAGGCGGCGACAAAGGAGGAGAGCUGCCCGUGCUGAACCCUCGCAUGGUCAAGUACAUCAUCGCGAUGGUGAGUCUUUUGCUCUUCUCCCGCCUUCUCUUCCUUCUAGAUGAUCUACCCUGCAUCUGUUUCAGUUUCUUUCUGACAGUUAUUCAAUCAUGUCAUUAGUACUCCCUCCGGUCCUUUUUACUCUGCAUAUUAGGUUUGACCGAAGUCAAUCUCAUUCAACUUUGACCAAGUUUAUACAAAAAAUUAUAGACAUUCACAUAACAACACCAAUAUCAUUAGAUUCAUCUUAGAAUAUAUUUUCAUAUUAUAUUUAUUACAUAUUAUAGAUGCUAAUAAUUUCAUAUUAUAGAUGCUAAUAAUUUUCAUAUUAUAUUUAUUACAUAUUAUACUUAGCAAGGUUUGACUUUCGGCAAAUCCAAUGUGCAGAGUAAAAAGGACCGGAGGGAGUAUGUGUUGCUAGUCGUACGCACGCAGGUCACUGUGUCGGGUAUAAUUAUGCAUUGAUGCAUCCUAAUUUGUAAUGCUAGUCAAUUACUUUUAACUUACGAUUGUGUUGGUGUAAGCUCAAACUUCCCAGGGAACUAAUAAUGGUUAAAGUGGAUUGUUGAGAAGCCCACUCAUUGCCACCCCAAAGGAGAGAAACGAGUGAACUGAGUGGCAGAAUGAUCUCACAGCUAGUAUCAAGAGCCUAUAGAACAACUGCUUUUGAUUCAUCUUAAGUGUCUGUUUGCUGAUUUUGGCCAUUCUGAUUUGCUAAUGCUCGGUGUUGUUUUAGUGACGUGUUAACCUUUUCACCAUACUAACCAAGAAUAUAUUGUGACCUCUGGCUCCUGCUUGCCAUGCACUUCAUUGUUGAAUUGCAUACAAUUUAUCUCCUGAAUUUUUCUUUUGUGCUCAGAAACUAACGUUCUAUUAUCAUGCAUGCUGCUUGUCUCUCCUUUGUAGGAUGUGAUCAUAGUGCUGUAUUUGCUGUUUUCAUUUGGCCUGAUCAUAUGGACUACGAAGGUUUCCAACAACUCGUGGGAUGCAUGGCCGGUUGUUAUUAUCUCGUCGCUAGUCUGGAUGUUGUUACUCGGCGUGUAUCUUCCGCUUGCCAAGAAGUGUACACCACGAAGCGAUGAUGGUGAUCUUAGUACCAAACUACUAGUAGCAUCUUAGAAAUAAGCCAGUGAAGUGAAUAAGCGGCACCGUCUAGUUAAUAUUUUAAGUACCCGCGGUUCCCUGUUCGUGGUAAUGAACCGGUAGUUGCAUGAUGCCUGCGUUUAAUCUAGUUCUUGAGCUUUUGCACAACCUCCUGACAGUUGGAGCUGCUUCAAGAUUUGUGUAAAUUUCACUGAGUUAUUGUUUUGGGAGUGUAACUUAACGCUCUGAUGUCUAUGAUUGUACAUUGUUUAUUUCUUGUUCCACGUGAUUUUACUGGUAGAACUCUACUCAUUCUAUUGCGUUAGCACCAGCCAAUAGUAACUUGGUAAGGGACGAUGACCGCGCAUCCAUGUCUGGAUACUAGUUUGGCGAGGAGGGCACCAUGCUAUGGAGUAGAAGCCACGAGCUUCGAUCGCAAGUUCGUUCAGCUGAGUCUCGACUGGGACUAGUUUGGUGGUCAAUCGACUGACCCAAAAUUUAUUUUCAUAUCAUUGAGCUGGGCUAUCUGGGCUGCCUAAUGCUAGAUUGAGGGGGUGUUUGUUUCCAGGAACUUUUUUGUGUAGGGACUAGAAAAAGUCUCUCUUAGAGACUUUUUUACCAAACGGGGGGACUUUUUAGGGACUAAAUUAGGCAUUUGGGACUAAAUGAAGAAGACACUCAAAGAGUCUUUUUGGAACUUUUCCAACAAUGCCCCUCCAUGCACCCAUUGGCCCGCCACCCCAUGGUGUUGUCUGUUUGUUAUUUUUCUAUGUACUAGGGGCAACAUGGUCAUUUAAUAACCUCUAGAAAGGACUACGAACUUUUUAGUCUUUGGAAACAAACAGAGAGGGACUUUUUAGGGACUAGGGACUUUUUAGUUGAGACUAGAAAAAAGUCCUAGAACUAGAGAACCAAACACCACCUGAGACUAUUUUUAGUUGGUUGGUCAACAGUCAGUCCCUAUUGUAAAUAUAGAGAUACAUACUACAAAGUAGCAAAGACAACUACAAUUUUCAUUUCCAUCUUUUUCUUUCGGGACAAGUGAAUUCAUUAAUUAAGCAGCGGCCAUGUCUGCAUUAUAUAGGUCCGGAACCUCGUUCAGACAGGAACAAAGCCACACUGUAGUGCUUCUUUAUUCCACCAAAGUUUGCCAAACAGUGACUAACAUCAUUUUGUUCUCACCUAACAAGCUUAACUAAGAAUUCACCAUGUUUCCAAAGACGCGAAGUAAUCUUGCGGAUCACCAUCAUAUGCUCCGACCGGUCGCGACCACCUGAUCAGCUUUACCACUUCCGCAGUCUGUUUGGAUCACCAAAGGCAGCUCAGACCACUGGGUAGUGAGGGAGACACCUUCUGAACAUGCAGCAAGUUCAGACUCCAGCGGCGAUGCACACUGCCUUAGCUCACGGCAAGAUGAAAAAAUAAUUAUUGAGUAUCGUGAUUAUUAGGAUGUAUAGGAUAGACUAGAAUUUAUCUUUACCUUGUCUUAUACGUCUUGUACUAUAAGUUAAUCGUAUACUCCUAUAUACUCCCUCCAUCUCAAAAGUCUUGUCUUAAAUUUGUCUAGAUACGGAUGCGUGUAAAUACUAAAACGUGACUUGAUACAUUCAUAUUUAGACAAACCUAAGACAAGAAUUUUGAGACGGAGGGAGUAUUCGCCCAUGAAGCUCAAGCAAUACAUCGAAUAAUUUCAUCAAUCCCUCUUUCUUUUCCCUUCUUACAAUAUUCUUUCCACAUGGUAUAAGCCUAAGAGCAUACCCCUUAAACCGCGAAAGGUUUUCAGUUCGCGGAAACCGCGUUUUGAGGGUCGGUUUUAGCUGCGUCCGAACAGAUCCCUCAAACUUAAACAGUAAAACCGAAUAUUUGCUUAUAUUCUUUUUCCACGUCUUCUUCUUCCUCUCGCCCGUGUCCCUGGUCAGUAGCUUGCUCCCACGAAACCGACGGACAACACAUGAAGCGGCCAAAUACGGAGCCGCAGCCGGCCAAAUACGAAGCACAUGAAGCGGCCAAUCCAUGAGCUAGCUACCUCCUCCAUCGGGGUAGCCAGAGCUAGCUAGCUAGCUCAGCUUGAAUCGAUCCAGGAGCUAGCUCCGUCGCCGUAGCGAGAGACGCGGCCGGGGGACCGGGGCGGCGUGGACGGCGGACGCGGACGGGCUGCCUGUGUCCAGGGACGGGCGGGACGGUGUCUGGGGCGGCGCGGAUGGCGGACACGGAAGUUUCCGUGGUAGUUGGGCUCCCGCCAACUGCUUUCUCCCAAUACAGGGCACCGUAUAAGCGGACGCGGAAACUAUGUUUUUGCGGAUCGGGAGAAGUUUUUUACCGCACCCUUUAAAAAAACUAAAGAUUUAAGGUGUAUAAAGGGUCUGUUCGGACUAUUUUUUUCGCCCGAAACUGGAAACUGACGGUUAUUUUGCAGUUUGCUUGGAUAUAAGGGGUCUGCUAGAGAUGCUCUAAGGACAUCUCCAAGGCAGACCCUCAAACCGCUCGCAUACGUCUGGACCGUGAAAACCAGCAAAUGCAGGCCUUUAUCGGUCCACCGAGCAAUCCGGGUGUAUUUUUUCCGGCAAAUGCGAGACAAAUGUGGGACAGGUUUGCGGGAGUGCGGACAUCCAUCUGCCCAAUCAAAAGCCACCACGUAUUCCUCCUCUCAUCCGAAUGACGGAAGGCUACUGCUAAUUUUUAUAUAUGGCGGAAGCUGCUAUUCUUUAAUUAAGGGACAAUGCUAACUUUCGGACGUCCUGAUUUUAGCUAUAGAUCCGGAUGAUCCACAUGCAGCCUUUUCUAUUUCGCGAUUGCAUGUAGUCCGUUUUUUCUCCACAUGCAUGUGAUAAUUAGUGCUUCUUUUCCUCCAUCAUGUUCGUGCGUGGCAUUUGUUAGAAAGCUUAAUUACAUGCAUGCACGUGAGACGAAACUGAUGACAUCACUUUCUAAUAAUAAAGCACAGAUUGAGUCUCCGGAUUCACCGUCACAAUAUGCUUCUUUCCGUGAAUUUACGCUUUCAGCUAUAUUAUUUUCUAUAUACGAGGUGGUAUUAUUUUACCUGCGGUUGAGAUUAAAGAGGACCUGACCCAAAACUUAACCGCGUCUGUGUGGGCAUACGUUCGCACCAACCCAGCUUAAUUUGGGCCGAGCCGCCAGCCCAUCACUGCUUUCUCCCCGUUCGUACCUCCCUGUCCCUCACAAUCUGGACUAUUUUCUUGUCUUUCUUCAAAAAAGAAAAGAAAAAGAGUCGUACUCUCUUCCUAAAAAAAGAAAAACGACCCCCUCAAAAGAAAAACGAUCAGGACUCUCGCUUCCAGUCAAGUCGAACCCUCCUAAAAUACGCCGCUUGUGACGAGGAGAAAUAGCAGGCGAGUUGCUGGACGAGGAGACAUAUAAGCCACCGCGAACGGAAGAGCCACGCCAAGGCCGAUGGCGACGAAGCAACCAUCAUCAUCCUCCUCUCCCGCCCAGGCGUGAGAUCACGUCCUUGCACGUGCCGAGGCCCGAGGCCAACACCAACGAGGCCCUCGAUGUUGGGGAUCCCUUCUUCCCCGAGACCGCAUCACAGCACGAGGACCGCCAGCCGCACAGUGAGGCCAGAGCCAACCAAAGGCGGCGACCCGAUCAGCAAGAGCAGUACAGAAAAUUUGGUCCGUCCCUAUCCUCACAUGGAUUCGUGUACGAGAAGGAUUGGUCCAAUAUCACUCAUGUUUUUCCCGUGAUCAUACGUUCUUCUUCUUUUUCUGUGUGAUCGUGGUUUUGUUACAGCCGCAUCCAAUCUGGUCUCCCUCCCUGAUUAGAUCGGUUCCUCCUCGAUUAUAUAUCUCCACAAAUCAACACUUCCACAACUGUCUAGCCAUUGACGUCGUCUUUCUCACUGCAAACGAUGUCUCAAGUUAUCUUCCCAAGCUGUCUUUCUGUUGGAACGGAACCACGCGGCCGUCGGCCUUCGCUCUAGGUCGAGCUUCAUCUAGACCAGACCAACCCGUGUGAUUCCUCCGGCGACCUUCUCCGCCGCUCAGCGCCAUCUUCGUUGGAUGAUCCCGCUCCCGCCUGCGCGCGUCCUCACUGUUGCUACCGGCCAUCAUAAUCUCACGGCCUCCCAUCCCCACAAAGCAUCCUGGUACAGGAAGUGGGCAGCACACGGUCACAGAAGUGAGCGGCCUUUGGCGCAGAUCAACGGAGGCGCUGGUCGGGAGGGCGUGGUGUGGGCUCGCCAGAGGAGAUGGACGGGGAUGACCGGACGAGGACCGGCUGGUGUGGGGACGGCAGGGGAGGAGAGAGGGACGGCUGCUCUAUAUGUGCGCUGUUGAUGUGCUGCUGUUAGCUGCACCAUACUGCUGCUUCCCUGUUGUUUGUUGAGUGAUGUUGUUGUUAUUGCUGCUGCUAAUUUGAUGUGGAGGACAAGCAGGGAUCGACGGGGAGCGACCGGGCGAUUUAUCUGUGACCUAAAUUUGACAGGUCAAAUUAAGCUGGUCUGUUGGCUGCUGGCUGACUUCAUGUGAUGCUAUAGUGCGCUAUGAAGAAGUAGCGAGGUUUACAUACAGGACCAUGAACCUUUUCAUGUAUUGGAUUUUAUGGUAAAAUAUUGAUUCCUUGACCCCAUUCCUUACGGUUUAUUUGGCAAUUGAUAUUGGGCUAUGUGGAACUACAAUGUCUACCCGGUAAGUUCCCUUACCGCGGUAUCUUUUCUAAGUGCUAAAUCACUUAUUGCUAGCAAGAACUCCUUUUACCAGCAAAGCCAGUGUGCGAGUGUGUGCAGAGAUGUCUCAACAGGAGAAUAGCUCAGUCCUGAGCUAUACAUUUGAUGGAGCUGUCUACAUAAUUUGGACUUAAAAUUACAGUGUAGAAUUGCUUGCAUCUUGCUAAUUCAAAUUUACUUACUAUUUUUUAAACUCUAUGACAACUCUAAACAGCAUAUGUUGUACAAUGUUUUCCAAGAAGUUUAUUUGGAUUUGAUUGUGUCACUUCAAUGUGAGAUGGUGGUAAAUACUGGUCACUAAAUAAUAUAUCACAGUUGAUGUUUAACUUUUGUAAGCUAGAUCGCCUGUAUUGUACGUGUAAUUUCAGAGACAAUAACUAAUUUUCAUGCAUACACAUAUUUUUUCUAUUACAGCAUAUAGCAACUUAAAGGUUGUUGAGUGUUUUUUUCCUUUCUCUUUCCAUCUCACCUUUGGCGACGGACUUACAUGAAAGCUCUCGAACCUACGGUCAUGCCAGUUCCCCAACCCGCAUUUUCUUUCGCUGCAACGCACAACCGGUUUCUCAUCCCAUGUUUUCUCCCGGUGUAAUGCACGGGCUCUUUUGCUAGUCACUAUAGACUCCCCCAUAAUUCAAAAAAUUCAUAAUGUUUUGCAGGCCAAACCAUCGCUCCGAUCGAAAAAUUGCUUUCGCAUAAAAGAACCGUCGCGGCGAGAACUUCGAAACUAGAUCUCAUGUUGAUAUGUUCCGAUGACUUUUUUUCGGGUAAAAGUUACUACCACGCAUAGGAUAUACCAGUUAUCACGUAUAUGAUACAUCAGUUACCAUGAUGUUUACAGGCAAAUUCGGGCAUGAAAAUGACUUCUUCCAAGUUUGUCCCCACAUGCAAAUGCACUAAAAGUGCAGAAAAGUUAAUGUCAUCGUGGAUUCUUUUUAUUUUGAAAUUUUAAAAUAUUUUGUCGCUCGAACCACCUGUUUGAUCCAAAAUCUGUUUUCACAAAAAAAAACA
Molecule: long non-coding RNA, 19477 nt
Filed under: Triticum aestivum (bread wheat)
Lineage: Eukaryota; Viridiplantae; Streptophyta; Magnoliopsida; Poales; Poaceae
Description: long non-coding RNA (TAES_LNC018806)
Rfam family: MIR1120/MIR1122 microRNA precursor family (bases 15308-15443)
Source: RNAcentral